Dreissena polymorpha is the source of this 318-nucleotide long non-coding RNA. RefSeq lists it as uncharacterized. NCBI's taxonomy places the organism in Eukaryota, Metazoa, Mollusca, Bivalvia, Myida, Dreissenidae. The transcript has 2 exons. The record is from RefSeq and is a predicted model, not a curated record.
CUGACAUCAAGCAAAUGUAAUUGAUACCGAAAUUGUUUUUAUGAGAAAUUGUGACUUGAAAGCUAGGGACAACAGCUAUAAGGCUACAUACAUUUUAAAAUAACUGUCUACUACUUAAUCUAGAACUCUAGCUUCUGAAUAAGGUUUUGAUUUAGGCUCCAAAUAUGAAACGCAUGUGUCGACUAUAUUUGAAAUAGCAUCUGGUAGUUAAAAUGUUUAACAUAGACAGCAGUGAGAUGCUUGAUUAUUUGUGGUCAAAAUAUACAGUAUAAUAAUUAUAGUAAACAAAAUCUAUAUUUACAAGAAUAAUAUUCACAU